GCCGGCGGCGCGGACCUCCUUGUCAAUGGGAGCGCGGGGCCGGGCUGCCCGCAGGACGGUCAGGUGGGCCCCCCAGCUCGCUGCCAGCGCGGCCUCUGUCCCUCUCGGGCCGGCUCUCCAUCUUGUCGCCCGUAGCCCGCCUUCUCCGUGGCUCUCCAGCCGCUGGGGCCGCAGAGCCGAGGCCGGGUUACCUCAGGAAACGCGAUGUGGUAGUGGGUCGGAAUAAACCCGCGCGCCCCAGAAUUCGCCUUGGGGGCGUAAGGACAGAUUCGGACUUUUCGUUUCCUAUGUCCACAUUUAUUGAGCACCUAAUAUGUGACACCCGAGGCUGUAAGAAGAGGAACGCAGCGGGCGGAGAAAAGCCAGAGCUUUUUCUCUGUGAGCCGCUGCCUCCAGGGCCAUAGCCGACCCUGCUCCGAGAUCCCAGCCGCCGCUCUCCGUGCAGGAGGGGUGCCCACCCUGGGGAGGCCAGGGUGCCCGGAGUGGAGGGACAGGGCUUCAAGCGACCGGGAGUUUCCAGCAAACCCCUGAUCCCUGAGCAGUUUAUUUUAAAAGCUUUUGCAAAUGUUGGACGGUUUCGUUUGGUGGAGGCCGUCUUUGCACUAAAUUCUCCUGUCCUCCCCCUUCGAAACGCACAAAAUGAAUUUUGAACAGAUUUUGGAUGAGAGGUUUUCUUCCUUUUUUCAUCUUCUGAAACAUUUCCCCCUCAUUUCUUCUCAGAUAAAGACCCAGAAACCCGGGACAGUUACUCGGUGUACAGCUAGUCAAAUACUGAGGAAACCAGUCGAUAUUUGCCAAAGAUUGGGCAUGUUCUGGGUGGUCUCAGAUUUUGAAGAAACGACUUUUUUACUGCACAAAAUAGUUUUACAAUCAGUUCCAUCAGACAGCCCCAGGGGCUCUCCUAGGGAAAGGGGCCAAUAGGCAAGGUUGCAUGGGGAUAAGAGAGGCAAGCGGCCAGUGGAAAACGGUUUUUUGUUUUUUUUUUCCUAACAGUUGGGCAUUUCUGUAGCUCUGAAAGCAAACUUGUUUGUUUCAUUUCAACGAUAGAAAAAAAACACUCCUGUUUUGGAAAUGUAACCCAGCAUAAAAAUACAUUUGCAAUGGGGAAAAAGAAAGCAGUUUAGGGCCACCCAGAAGAAAAUAUUUUUUCCCUGAUUUUUUUUUAAUUUGGUAUUUCCCAGUGUGGGUUUGCCUCAUUUUACAAAUAGCUGCCCAUGUCAAGAUGUGGGUAUGUGAUUUAAAUAUUUUAAUUUGAAUCACAUUUUACAUAGUCUAGGAAACUGACAAAAGAAUCCUAUAGAGAAUUGUUUUAUAAAGUGAAUAACUGCUUCUCUACCUACCCGCCCCUCUCAUUCUUCUUUUCUGUGCGUGUUUUUGGGGGGCUGUUAUGGGAUAAAUCUUGUUUGGCUUAAAAAUCACUAAAACGCAGCCUUUCAAAUCCAAAACAGAGAGCUUAGGUACCCAACAUUCUAUAGAAUGUAUUAUUUCCUCAAGAGGUUGCUAGGAACAGUUAUGUAGAUCUACCAGGUGCAGGGAAGCACUCCACACCCUCACCCAGGUCCUGUAUCCCUGCAAGACUGCGUUGGAAAGACUGAAGAGGCUGGAGUGCAGUGGCGCAAUCUUGGCUCACAGGAACCUCCGCCUCCCAGGUUCAAGAGAUUCUCAUGCCUCAGCCUCGCGAGUAGCUGGAAUUACAGAGCUGACAAGCCAUAGCAGGACGGCUAUCCCCUGAGAGAUAGGAGAGGAGGAGAAACAGCCUGACAGGGGCCUGGAGCAGCUGGCUGGCGUCAGUAAUUUCCUGCAGGAGACUCUGCUGGCCGAGCACACAUCACCCUUCUGUUGCUCCUCUGUAUUCUCCCUUGUGCUACUAAAAUACGCUAAUGUAACUCCUGGGCUGUGCUAAGCUAAAUGCAGUUAUUUAACCUCAUUUCUAUGGAACCCAGGUCUAAAGCAGCAACAUCUAUUUGGAACAAGAUGGGGAGGAGGUAAGCCCCAAACAUCCCUGAGCAGCAGGAAUACACAUUACAAAGUUUCUCUUUCCACACAGAAGAGACUUCUGGGCCCUUGCUUGAGACCACUGACUUUUACUUAACACCUAGGUCUAGUUAGCUUGGUGAACUGCUUUCUGACACCUGAACAGGUUGGAAGCAGGGAAUCGAAGGUGAGGAAAGACUGCCACAAACAGGAGCCAAGAAUUAAGAGCCAAACCAAGGAGGUGACAUUCACGACGACAACUGUGGAUGGAAAUCCUGCCCAAAGGGGGAUGUUGGAUGAAUGGCUCCUAAGUCCCCUUCCAACAUUUCAGUUCAUGGCUCUGAGUGUCCCUGGUUUGAUUGUGAUGGUAAAGGCAGAUAAGAGGGCGAGGGAGACCUCCGUGGAGAGCUGGUGCCCAGCAGGAGGUGUGGCCCUGUGUUUUAGUGCUCAGGAAUACUUGCCUGCUUUUGCUGGAGUCCUCUGGGCUCAAUAUGUGCUCUUGACCCCCACUUCAUUUUUUUUUUUUUUUUUUUUGCCAGCAAGAGUGAAUUCAUGCUCUUCUUCAUGGAGGUGGAUGUUUCUGGAAGGAGGUUUGUGAUGUCCUUUGCAGGGACAUGGAUGGAGUUGGAAGCCCUUAUCCUCAGCAAACUAAUGCAGGAACAGAAAACCAAACACUGCAUGUUCUUACUUAUAAGUGGGAACUGAAUGAUGAGAACACAUGGACACAUAAGGGGAAAUGACACACACUGGGGCCUGUCAGAGCUGAGGGGUUGUGGGGAGAGGGAGAGAAUCAGGAAUAAUGGCUAAUGUAUGCUGUGCUUAAUAUCUAGGUGAUGGGAUGAUCUGUGCAGCAAACCACCAUGGCACACGUUUACCUAUGUAACAAACCUGGACAUCCUGCACAUGUAUCCUGGAACUUAAAAUAAAAGUUGAAGAAAAAAAAAAAAGAAAAAGUUUUGUGAAGUCUGGAGGUGUAAUGGACAGACACAGGCUUAGGGUGAGGCAGGCCCAUGUUCAGAUCCUUGCUUCCUCACUAAGCUAGCAGGGAGACUGGCUAUAUCACCGAGCCUCAGUUUCCUCACCUGUACAUCUGCUGUAGAAGUGGCAUAUCAUAUGCUGUCCUGGCUGUGACCUUUGGUAGCUCAUCACUGCCCUUCUUACUGUUCUCAGGGUAAACCCCUUUCCAGGCAGAGUUGCCAAGACACCCAGUAAAAUUUGAAUUUCAGAUAAACACUGAAUAAUUUUUUAGUAUAAUGAUGCUCCAAAUAUUGCAUGGGAUAUACUUAACACUAAAAAAAAAAUCAUUGUUUGUCUGAAAUUCAGAUUUAACUGGGCAACCUGCAUUUUUAAAUAAACUUUUAAUUUUAGAAUCAUUUUAGAUUUACAGAAAAAAAUAUAAAGAUCGUACAGAGUUACCACACACCCUGCACCCAGUUUCCCCUAUAACUAAUAUCUUACGUCGAGCCAGUGCAGUGGCGCACAUUUGUAAUCCUAGCUGCUCAGGAGGCUGAGGUGGGAGUAUUGUUUGAGCCCAGGAGCUCGAGGCUGCAGUGAGCCAUGAUUGCACCAUUGCACUCCAGCCUGAGUGACGGAGUAAGAUGCCAUCUUUUAAAAAAAAAUCUUAUGCCAGUAUGAUACAUUUGUCACAAUUAAUGAACUAAGAUUGAUAUAUUAUCAUUAACUAAAGUCUAUACUUCAUUAGAUUUCCUUAGUUUUUCCCCAGUGUCCUUUUCUAUUCCAGGAUCCUGUCCAGGACACCAUAUCAUAUUUAGUUGUCAAGUCUUCCUAGUUCCUCUUGGCUGUGACAGUUUUUUAGACUUCCCUUGUUUUUGAUGACCUUGACCGUUUUGAGGAGCACUGGUCUGGGGUUUUGUAGAAUGCCCCUCAAUUCAGCCUGUCAGAUGUUUUUCUCAUGAUUAGGCUGGGGUAUUAUUUUUUUGGGAGGAAGACCACAGAGGUCAAGAGCCAUUCUCUUCACAUCUCGUUAAGGGUCUGUACUGUCCAUAUGACUUACCACUGUUGAUGUUGACCUUGAUCACCUGGCUAAGGUAGUGUUCAUCAGGUUUAGCAACUGUAUUUUCAUUUGCUAAAUCUGUAACUCGAUUCCAGGCCUGUCAGUCUUUCAUGACCAGACCUUUGCUUACUGCUGCUGCCAUUUUUCUGCUCCAACCAUAGUGAACUGCUAACAAUUCCUCUAAUGAACUAUUCUCUGUCUCUCUUACUGCCAGGCCUUAGGGCUUGCUCUUUCCUUUGCCUGGAAUGUUCCACUCCCCCACAGCCUCCCAUCCACACCUCCCCUUCACCCGAUUAACUUACUUUUCAGUUGGGCUUCAGUGUUCCGCUUAGGUCUCACUCCUUCCGGGAAGAUUUCUUGCACCCUCCUCUGCCAAGACCAGGUUAGGUGUUGCUUCUCUGCCCUGGUCCUACUGUGUUGUGAUAUUUACCAUCCUGUGGUUGUGAACUGUUUGCUUGUCUCCCUGACCCCAGUGCAUCCCUGACAUCUUACACAGUGCCUUGUUGCAACUCAAUAAAUAAUUGCUGAAUAAAUGAAUGGUUACACCAGGCACUUCAGGUAAAGCCUUUAACACACUACCUGCCUUGUAAACAGUAGAUGCUCAGUAAAUGCUUGUCUUUUUCAAUGUAGGAAAAAUAAUCUUCCCUAGAUCUGAGCAACUGUAAUAAGUUUGUGCUCGCCCGACACCCGCAACACAUGUCCCUACCUGGAGAAGAGAUUCUGGAACAGUGGUCUCCUAGGAUUCCCUGAGAGCCACAGUUACCUGUAUCAAAGUAUCAAGGAGGCCACUUAAUGACAGAGAUAUUAGGGUAAGUAGGCUACUUUCCGUCAGUUUGCAGAUUAAAAAGGCAUCUUUCUCCCAGUGGAGAAACUGAAUUAUGAACCCCUUCGCCCAGAUUUCCAUAGUUGGACGCGCUGACCCAUUAUUUUUAGUGAAAGGGACAAAGGGACCCACCUCCUUCUCUUUUUGCUGCCCAUGUGCCACACACAUGUAAAUGACAUGUGUACCUAUUGUUGCUUGUCCUUGAUGAUGAGUACACUUGUACAUUGAUAUAUUUAUUAGUGUUUUGCUUUUCACUAAUCCAGCAUAGUUGUGACCCCACCCCUGAGACCUAAAGGAAGGAGACACCUCAUAGGGGGUCUCAGGAAUCUCUGAUGAACCUUAGGACUAAUUAUAAUUCUUUCAUUUAUUAUAACUUCAUGCCAGGUAUUUUAUCUGCCUCACCUCUAAUCCUCUCAAUAACCUUGCAUGUUUUUAUUCAUCCCGUAUUACAAAUGAGAAAGCUAAGGUUUGGGUGCUUAAGAAAUUUUCCCCAAGUUUUUUUUGUGGUGGAGCCAGCUUGGAGCUAGGGCAAUAGACUUCAGAGUCUCAGCUCCAUCCUCUCCAUGGUUCAGAAAGUUCUCUAGUUCUGUAAGAGACAGCCAACAUCCCCCAAGGGCUUGUGCUCAUUGGAAUGGCUCUCGGGUCCACUCCUCCCUUUGUAUCCCCAGGUCACCUCACUAGAGCAGACCUCCAUCAGUCAGUGUUUACCCACCUUCCAGAGCCUCCUUCCUGGACUCUUGCCCCCGGAUUCCCCACCCAUAGCACUCUCACACUGCCAUCGCCCAACUCAGGAUCCCAAGAAUGCCCAUUUUCAGCCUUAUAAAUCCUUUGCCUUGCUUCCAAGACCCUAUGGUCUAUUUCUUUUCCAAGCCUUCUCUCCGUGCAUCAGAUUCUUCAUGAAACUUACACUGACUAGUCCCCCACCCAUCUCCCUUUCCUUGGAUCUUCAUGGCACCUAGGUAUGCAAGGCAUAAAGUAGUGUAGAAUGCCCUUCUGGCUUGUGUGGAACCACAGGGGAGUCCCCUGGGUUUCUAAUAUGGUUUUCCCAUCUGGAUUGACACCCCCGAAGGACAAAAACCUCUUGUUAAAAAAGUCAACUUUAUUGAGGUAUAACAUACAUACACCCUGUUUUAAGUGUUGAGUUUGAUAAGGUUUGACAAAUGUAUACACCCAGGUAACCACCGUCACAACCAAGAUAUAGAACAUUUCUAUCACCCCAGAAAUACCUCUGAGCCCCUUUGUAGUCAAUUCCUCCACCCCCGACCCAGGAAGCCACUUGUUGGAUUUCUAUUAAUAUAGAUUAGUUUUGCCUGCCGUUGAACUCCACAAAAAUGCAGUCACAAAGGGUGUAGUCUUUUGUGUCAGCCUAUUUUGGUUAGCACGAUAUUUUAAAGAUUCCUCCAUACUGUUUAUUACUUUCUUCUUGCUGAGUAGUAUUCUAUGGUAGAGACUAUACUACAACUUGAUUGUCCAUGUUGACUAAAUUUGAGGCUGUUUCACAUUUUUGGCUAUUGUGAAUAAAGUAGCUAUGAAUGUUUACACACAAGCCUUUUGUGAAUGUGUUUUCAUUUCUU
RNAcentral lists this long non-coding RNA (6385 nucleotides) under Homo sapiens (human). RNAcentral's name for it is "non-protein coding lnc-CES5A-3:11". Lineage: Eukaryota; Metazoa; Chordata; Mammalia; Primates; Hominidae. The record is from RNAcentral.